Molecule: ribosomal RNA, 274 nt
Filed under: uncultured bacterium
Lineage: Bacteria
Description: partial 16S ribosomal RNA
Rfam family: Bacterial small subunit ribosomal RNA
Source: RNAcentral
AUACGGAGGGUGCAAGCGUUGUUCGGAAUCACUGGGCGUAAAGGGCGCGCAGGCGGUUUGGUAAGUCAGAUGUGAAAGCCCACGGCUCAACCGUGGAAGUGCAUUUGAAACUGCCAGACUUGAGUACCAGAGGGGAAAGUGGAAUUCCCGGUGUAGAGGUGAAAUGCGUAGAUAUCGGGAGGAAUACCGGUGGCGAAGGCGACUUUCUGGCUGGAUACUGACGCUGAGGCGCGAAAGCGUGGGGAGCAAACAGGAUUAGAAACCCUAGUAGUCC